AGAGUUUGAUCCUGGCUCAGAUUGAACGCUGGCGGCAGGCCUAACACAUGCAAGUCGAGCGGUAGCACAGAGAGCUUGCUCUCGGGUGACGAGCGGCGGACGGGUGAGUAAUGUCUGGGAAACUGCCUGAUGGAGGGGGAUAACUACUGGAAACGGUAGCUAAUACCGCAUAAUGUCGCAAGACCAAAGUGGGGGACCUUCGGGCCUCAUGCCAUCAGAUGUGCCCAGAUGGGAUUAGCUAGUAGGUGGGGUAACGGCUCACCUAGGCGACGAUCCCUAGCUGGUCUGAGAGGAUGACCAGCCACACUGGAACUGAGACACGGUCCAGACUCCUACGGGAGGCAGCAGUGGGGAAUAUUGCACAAUGGGCGCAAGCCUGAUGCAGCCAUGCCGCGUGUGUGAAGAAGGCCUUCGGGUUGUAAAGCACUUUCAGCGGGGAGGAAGGCGUUAAGGUUAAUAACCUUGGCGAUUGACGUUACCCGCAGAAGAAGCACCGGCUAACUCCGUGCCAGCAGCCGCGGUAAUACGGAGGGUGCAGGCGUUAAUCGGAAUUACUGGGCGUAAAGCGCACGCAGGCGGUCUGUCAAGUCGGAUGUGAAAUCCCCGGGCUCAACCUGGGAACUGCAUUCGAAACUGGCAGGCUAGAGUCUUGUAGAGGGGGGUAGAAUUCCAGGUGUAGCGGUGAAAUGCGUAGAGAUCUGGAGGAAUACCGGUGGCGAAGGCGGCCUCCUGGACAAAGACUGACGCUCAGGUGCGAAAGCGUGGGAGCAAACAGGAUUAGAUACCCUGGUAGUCCACGCCGUAAACGAUGUCGAUUUGGAGGUUGUGCCCUUGAGGCGUGGCUUCCGGAGCUAACGCGUUAAAUCGACCGCCUGGGGAGUACGGCCGCAAGGUUAAAACUCAAAUGAAUUGACGGGGGCCCGCACAAGCGGUGGAGCAUGUGGUUUAAUUCGAUGCAACGCGAAGAACCUUACCUGGUCUUGACAUCCACAGAACUUUCCAGAGAUGGAUUGGUGCCUUCGGGAACUGUGAGACAGGUGCUGCAUGGCUGUCGUCAGCUCGUGUUGUGAAAUGUUGGGUUAAGUCCCGCAACGAGCGCAACCCUUAUCCUUUGUUGCCAGCGGUCCGGCCGGGAACUCAAAGGAGACUGCCAGUGAUAAACUGGAGGAAGGCGGGGAUGACGUCAAGUCAUCAUGGCCCUUACGACCAGGGCUACACACGUGCUACAAUGGCAUAUACAAAGAGAAGCGACCUCGCGAGAGCAAGCGGACCUCAUAAAGUAUGUCGUAGUCCGGAU
This 1297-nucleotide ribosomal RNA is filed under the name Klebsiella milletis. Its description in RNAcentral is "bacterial SSU rRNA". It matches the Rfam family "Bacterial small subunit ribosomal RNA", at positions 8 to 1298 of the family's 1533-position model. The record is from RNAcentral. Lineage: Bacteria; Pseudomonadati; Pseudomonadota; Gammaproteobacteria; Enterobacterales; Enterobacteriaceae.